GGGGAUGUAAAGGUUUCGACAGGGGUGCGUGUGGUAUAGAUAGCGAGUCGGCGUUCCAUGAGGCCGUUAAACGGUGGGAAAACAUUUAAACGCAGAAGAAAAUUUUGCAUUAGCUGCAUAAGCUACGUCCCUCAUACUUGUGCCUACCAAGUGUGAAUGG
RNAcentral lists this transfer-messenger RNA (160 nucleotides) under Veillonella sp. RNAcentral describes it as "partial transfer-messenger RNA". It matches the Rfam family "transfer-messenger RNA", at positions 1 to 181 of the family's 374-position model. Rfam says of the family: Bacterial tmRNA, also known as 10Sa RNA or SsrA, is named for its dual tRNA and mRNA-like properties. Its role is to liberate the mRNA from a stalled ribosome. Lineage: Bacteria; Bacillati; Bacillota; Negativicutes; Veillonellales; Veillonellaceae. The record is from RNAcentral.